This 73-nucleotide transfer RNA is filed under the name Streptococcus infantarius subsp. infantarius. RNAcentral's name for it is "tRNA-Val". It matches the Rfam family "tRNA". From Rfam's summary of the family: Transfer RNA (tRNA) molecules are approximately 80 nucleotides in length. Their secondary structure includes four short double-helical elements and three loops (D, anti-codon, and T loops). The record is from RNAcentral. Lineage: Bacteria; Bacillati; Bacillota; Bacilli; Lactobacillales; Streptococcaceae.
GGGAGUUUACCUCAGCUGGGAGAGCAUCUGCCUUACAAGCAGAAGGUCAGCGGUUCGAUGCCGGUGACUCCCA